Molecule: ribosomal RNA, 449 nt
Filed under: uncultured bacterium
Lineage: Bacteria
Description: bacterial SSU rRNA
Rfam family: Bacterial small subunit ribosomal RNA
Source: RNAcentral
GGCCAGACUCCUACGGGAGGCAGCAGUGGGGAAUAUUGCACAAUGGGGGGAACCCUGAUGCAGCGACGCCGCGUGGGUGAAGAAGCGCCUCGGCGCGUAAAGCCCUGUCAGCAGGGAAGAAAAUGACGGUACCUGAAGAAGAAGCCCCGGCUAACUACGUGCCAGCAGCCGCGGUAAUACGUAGGGGGCAAGCGUUAUCCGGAUUUACUGGGUGUAAAGGGGGCGCAGACGGCGAUGCAAGCCAGGAGUGAAAGCCCGGGGCCCAACCCCGGGACUGCUCUUGGAACUGCGUGGCUGGAGUGCAGGAGGGGCAGGCGGAAUUCCUGGUGUAGCGGUGAAAUGCGUAGAUAUCAGGAGGAACACCGGUGGCGAAGGCGGCCUGCUGGACUGCAACUGACGUUGAGGCCCGAAAGCGUGGGGAGCAAACAGGAUUAGAUACCCGAGUAAUC